RNAcentral lists this ribosomal RNA (626 nucleotides) under uncultured Anaplasma sp. RNAcentral describes it as "bacterial SSU rRNA". It matches the Rfam family "Bacterial small subunit ribosomal RNA", at positions 20 to 672 of the family's 1533-position model. The record is from RNAcentral. Lineage: Bacteria; Pseudomonadati; Pseudomonadota; Alphaproteobacteria; Rickettsiales; Anaplasmataceae.
UGGCUCAGAACGAACGCUGGCGGCAAGCUUAACACAUGCAAGUCGAACGGAUUAUCUUUUGUAGCUUGCUAUAAAAGAUAAUUAGUGGCAGACGGGUGAGUAAUGCAUAGGAAUCUACCUAGUAGUAUGGGAUAGCCACUAGAAAUGGUGGGUAAUACUGUAUAAUCCCUGCGGGGGAAAGAUUUAUCGCUAUUAGAUGAGCCUAUGUUAGAUUAGCUAGUUGGUAGGGUAAAGGCCUACCAAGGCGAUGAUCUAUAGCUGGUCUGAGAGGAUGAUCAGCCACACUGGAACUGAGAUACGGUCCAGACUCCUACGGGAGGCAGCAGUGGGGAAUAUUGGACAAUGGGCGCAAGCCUGAUCCAGCUAUGCCGCGUGAGUGAGGAAGGCCUUAGGGUUGUAAAACUCUUUCAGUAGGGAAGAUAAUGACGGUACCUACAGAAGAAGUCCCGGCAAACUCCGUGCCAGCAGCCGCGGUAAUACGGAGGGGGCAAGCGUUGUUCGGAAUUAUUGGGCGUAAAGGGCAUGUAGGCGGUUCGGUAAGUUAAAGGUGAAAUGCCAGGGCUUAACCCUGGAGCUGCUUUUAAUACUGCCAGACUAGAGUCCGGGAGAGGAUAGCGGAAUUCCUA